RNAcentral lists this ribosomal RNA (437 nucleotides) under uncultured bacterium. RNAcentral describes it as "partial 16S ribosomal RNA". It matches the Rfam family "Bacterial small subunit ribosomal RNA", at positions 29 to 507 of the family's 1533-position model. The record is from RNAcentral.
AGCGAACGCUGGCGGCAGGCUUAACACAUGCAAGUCGAGCGGGCAUCCUUGUGGUGUCAGCGGCAGACGGGUGAGUAACGCGUGGGAACGUGCCCUUCGGUUCGGAAUAACUCAGGGAAACUUGAGCUAAUACCGGAUACGUGCGAGAGCAGAAAGGUUUAUCUGCCGAAGGAUCGGCCCGCGUCUGAUUAGCUAGUUGGUGAGGUUACGGCUCACCAAGGCGACGAUCAGUAGCUGGUCUGAGAGGAUGAUCAGCCACACUGGGACUGAGACACGGCCCAGACUCCUACGGGAGGCAGCAGUGGGGAAUAUUGGACAAUAGGGGCAACCCUGAUCCAGCCAUGCCGCGUGAGUGAUGACGGCCUUAGGGUUGUAAAGCUCUUUUCUCCGGGACGAUAAUGACGGUACCGGAGGAAUAAGCCCCGGCUAACUUCGUG